CCAUGGCGUACAGGUGAGUAAUACACAAGAAUCUGCCCUAAAAUCUUGGGAUAAUCAUAUUUUUUUAAUAAUGCUUUGCAGUGAUAAUACCGGAUAUAUUGAAAGGCUAAAUGCUGUUUUAGGAUGAGCUUGUGCAAGAUUAGGUAGUUGGUAGGGUAAAAGCCUACCAAGCCGAUGAUCUUUAGCUGUUCUGAGAGGAUGAUCAGCCACACUGGGACUGAGAUAAGGCCCAGGCUUAUAAGCCAGCAGUGAGGAAUCUUGGACAAUGAGCGAAAGCUUGAUCCAGUAAUGCUGCGUGAAUGAUGAUAGGCACAAAAGAUUUUUAAGAAAUUAAUAAUCGGCUGUAAAAUUCUUUCGCUGAUGAAGAUAAUGACGUUAGUCAGAGAAGAAGUCCCGGCUAACUUCGUGCCAGCAGCCGCGGUAAUACGAAGGGGGCAAGCGUUAUCCGGAAUUACUGGGCGUAAAGUGUUCGUAGACGGUAUUUGUUGUUUUACGUAAAAUACUAAGUUAAAUCUUAGACAUGCGUAUAAUACUCUUUUACUUGAGUUUAAUAGAGGGUAACAGAAUUUUAUAUUAUAGGGGUAAAAUCCAAAUAUUUAUAAAGGAAUGUCAGUGGCGAAGGCGGUUACCUGGAUUAAUGUAUUUUUACAAAACUGACGUUGAGGAACGAAAGCGUAGGGAGCAAACAGGAUUAGAGACCCUGGUAGUCUACGCUGUCAAAGAUGAAUGCUAUUAUUGGGAUGUUUUAUUCUGAUAAACAGCUAACGCG
Molecule: ribosomal RNA, 769 nt
Filed under: eukaryote SCGC AAA074-C16
Lineage: Eukaryota
Description: bacterial SSU rRNA
Rfam family: Bacterial small subunit ribosomal RNA
Source: RNAcentral